RNAcentral lists this ribosomal RNA (491 nucleotides) under uncultured bacterium. RNAcentral describes it as "partial 16S ribosomal RNA". It matches the Rfam family "Bacterial small subunit ribosomal RNA", at positions 29 to 507 of the family's 1533-position model. The record is from RNAcentral.
GUGAACGCUGGCGGUAGGCCUAACACAUGCAAGUCGAACGGCAGCACAGUAAGAGCUUGCUCUUACGGGUGGCGAGUGGCGGACGGGUGAGGAAUACAUCGGAAUCUACUUUUUCGUGGGGGAUAACGUAGGGAAACUUACGCUCAUACCGCAUACGACCUACGGGUGAAAGCAGGGGAUCUUCGGACCUUGCGCGAUUGAAUGAGCCGAUGUCGGAUUAGCUAGUUGGCGGGGUAAAGGCCCACCAAGGCGACGAUCCGUAGCUGGUCUGAGAGGAUGAUCAGCCACACUGGAACUGAGACACGGUCCAGACUCCUACGGGAGGCAGCAGUGGGGAAUAUUGGACAAUGGGCGCAAGCCUGAUCCAGCCAUACCGCGUGGGUGAAGAAGGCCUUCGGGUUGUAAAGCCCUUUUGUUGGGAAAGAAAAGCAGCAGGUUAAUACCCCGCUGUUCUGACGGUACCCAAAGAAUAAGCACCGGCUAACUUCGUG